GUGGGGAAUCUUCCACAAUGGACGAAAGUCUGAUGGAGCAACGCCGCGUGAGUGAAGAAGGGUUUCGGCUCGUAAAGCUCUGUUGUCGGGGACGAAUGUGCAGUAUUUGAAUAAAGUACUGCAAUGACGGUACCUGACGAGGAAGCCACGGCUAACUACGUGCCAGCAGCCGCGGUAAUACGUAGGUGGCAAGCGUUGUCCGGAAUUAUUGGGCGUAAAGGGAGCGCAGGCGGGAAGGUAAGUCGGUCUUAAAAGUGCGGGGCUCAACCCCGUGAUGGGAUCGAAACUAUCUUUCUUGAGUGCAGGAGAGGAAAGUGGAAUUGCUAGUGUAGCGGUGAAAUGCGUAGAUAUGGGGAGGAACACCAGUGGCGAAGGCGGCUUUCUGGACGGUGUCUGACACUGAGGCGCGAAAGCUAGGGGAGCGAACGGGAUUAGAAACCCGGGUAGUCC
This 450-nucleotide ribosomal RNA is filed under the name uncultured bacterium. Its description in RNAcentral is "partial 16S ribosomal RNA". It matches the Rfam family "Bacterial small subunit ribosomal RNA", at positions 354 to 796 of the family's 1533-position model. The record is from RNAcentral.